RNAcentral lists this ribosomal RNA (292 nucleotides) under uncultured bacterium. Its description in RNAcentral is "partial 16S ribosomal RNA". The record is from RNAcentral.
GGACUACAGGGGUUUCUAAUCCCGUUCGCUCCCCUGGCUUUCGCACCUGAGCGUCAGGUACUCCCCAGGACACUGCCUUCGCCUUUGGUGUUCCUCCGGAUCUCUACGCAUUUCACCACUCCACCCGGAAUUCCGUGUCCCUCUGAAGCCCUCAAGUCCAACAGUUUUCGAAGCACUUUCCCAGUUGAGCCAGGAACUGUCACUCCAAACUUGCAGGACCGCCUGCGUGCGCUUUACGCCCAGUAACUCCGGACAACGCUUGCCCCCUACGUAUUACCGCGGCGGCUGGCAC